GUGAAAAUAGCUUAGUUGGUAGAGUAUAGGUUUGUGGAGCCAAAGGCCAAGAGUUCAAAUCUCUUUUUUCGCC
RNAcentral lists this transfer RNA (73 nucleotides) under Polymastia littoralis. Its description in RNAcentral is "tRNA-His". It matches the Rfam family "tRNA". Rfam says of the family: Transfer RNA (tRNA) molecules are approximately 80 nucleotides in length. Their secondary structure includes four short double-helical elements and three loops (D, anti-codon, and T loops). Lineage: Eukaryota; Metazoa; Porifera; Demospongiae; Polymastiida; Polymastiidae. RNAcentral also lists the same sequence under 2 other names. The record is from RNAcentral.